This 253-nucleotide ribosomal RNA is filed under the name uncultured bacterium. RNAcentral's name for it is "partial 16S ribosomal RNA". It matches the Rfam family "Bacterial small subunit ribosomal RNA", at positions 524 to 776 of the family's 1533-position model. The record is from RNAcentral.
UACGUAGGGUCCGAGCGUUGUCCGGAAUUAUUGGGCGUAAAGGGCUCGUAGGCGGUCUGUUGCGUCGGGAGUGAAAACUUACAGCUUAACUGUGAGCGUGCUUCCGAUACGGGCAGACUUGAGGUAUUCAGGGGAGAACGGAAUUCCUGGUGUAGCGGUGAAAUGCGCAGAUAUCAGGAAGAACACCCGUGGCGAAGGCGGUUCUCUGGGCAUUACCUGACGCUGAGGAGCGAAAGUGUGGGGAGCGAACAGG